This 208-nucleotide long non-coding RNA is filed under the name Elaeis guineensis (African oil palm). Its description in RNAcentral is "long non-coding RNA (EGUI_LNC064058)". The record is from RNAcentral. Lineage: Eukaryota; Viridiplantae; Streptophyta; Magnoliopsida; Arecales; Arecaceae.
AACGAGGUUCGAUCCUAAGUGUGGGUUCAUCUACAAUAUUAGGAUUUUGGGGGGCUGGAGCUGACGAACUUUUAGAACUGCUAGAGGAGGAAGUGUUGGAGGACAUUUUGAAUCAAAUGAAAACUCCAAAAAAUCUCGAAAAAAUUAGAAAAAAUAGGAAACAAGGCACUCGCAGAGAAACUGAAUGGGCAGAAUGAAGAGGAGGAAA